GACGAGAAAUAACAAUACAGGGCAUUUUAUGCUCUGUAAUUGGAAUGAUGGGAAUCCAAACCCCUUUCAGAGUAACAAUUGGAGGGCAAGUCUGGUGCCAGCAGCCGCGGUAAUUCCAGCUCCAAUAGCGUAUAUUAGAGUUGUUGCAGUUAAAAAGCUCGUAGUUGGAUUUCUGUCGUGGUCUUCCGGUGCCGCCCGUACGGGUGCGCACUUGGUUUGCCCUCGGCAUUCUUCCGGUUUCCUUCCCCGCUUCAUUGCGUGGUUGGAUUUUCCGGAACUUUUACUUUGAGAAAAAUAGAGUGUUUCAAGCAGGCUUUCGCCUUGAAUACUUCAGCAUGGAAUAAUAAAAUAGGACUUUGGUUCUAUUUUGUUGGUUUCUAGGACUAAAGUAAUGAUUAAUAGGGACAGUUGGGGGCAUUCGUAUUUAACUGUCAGAGGUGAAAUUCUUAGAUUUGUUAAAGACGAACUACUGCGAAAGCAUUUGCCAAGGAUGUUUUCAUUAAUCAAGAACGACAGUAGGGGGUU
Molecule: ribosomal RNA, 525 nt
Filed under: Eimeriidae sp. US10
Lineage: Eukaryota; Apicomplexa; Conoidasida; Eucoccidiorida; Eimeriidae
Description: SSU rRNA
Rfam family: Eukaryotic small subunit ribosomal RNA
Source: RNAcentral